AUAAAUAGCUUUUCUAUAAGGUCCGGUAUUCCUGAAAGGGAGUGCUUGAAAAACCUACGAAUUGCUGGGAACCCCUAAAGCUCAACGACCCAUGAGGUGCCGAAAGGCAGAAACAACAGUUGAGAUGCACUACCUCCGUAAGAGGCUUAGGCUGAAAGAAAAGCCGCGUAAGCGGUGCUAAGGUGCGAGACAAUGGGCAAUCAGCAGCCUGGUUAUUGCGUAGCAAUACGGCAUUCUUGGUUGUAAGAAUGUGAAACAACGCAGGUUCAACGACUAAGGGAUUUACCACCCUGUAGAGGACAAGCGUCUUCGAAGUGUAGGUUACCGUAACAGGUGCUGCUGAAGAAUACUUCAGCGCCGCAUUCUCGAUAUGAUCGAGAAAGUGAAGCUGACGGUUUGAUAUAGUCUCCUCUUGCAUGAAAGUGCAAG
This 429-nucleotide non-coding RNA is filed under the name Escherichia phage vB_EcoM_Goslar. It matches the Rfam family "Group I catalytic intron". From Rfam's summary of the family: Group I catalytic introns are large self-splicing ribozymes. They catalyse their own excision from mRNA, tRNA and rRNA precursors in a wide range of organisms. The record is from RNAcentral. Lineage: Duplodnaviria; Heunggongvirae; Uroviricota; Caudoviricetes; Chimalliviridae.